AAAGGGGCCAAUGUUUUUGGCUAAGCUCAUGUGUAGUAUCUGUUCUUAUCAGUUUAAUAUCUGAUACGCCCCCUAUCUGGGGGCCAUAUAUUAAAUGGAUUUAUAGAACAGGGAGAUGGAAGAAGAGCUUGCUCUGUCCACUCCACGCAUUGACCUGGUAUUGCAGUACCUCCAGGACCGGUGCACAAAAU
This 191-nucleotide small nuclear RNA is filed under the name Leptobrachium leishanense (Leishan spiny toad). RNAcentral describes it as "U2 spliceosomal RNA (ENSLLEG00000010696.1)". It matches the Rfam family "U2 spliceosomal RNA". From Rfam's summary of the family: U2 is a small nuclear RNA (snRNA) component of the spliceosome (involved in pre-mRNA splicing). Complementary binding between U2 snRNA (in an area lying towards the 5' end but 3' to hairpin I) and the branchpoint sequence (BPS) of the intron results the bulging out of an unpaired adenosine, on the BPS, which initiates a nucleophilic attack at the intronic 5' splice site, thus starting the first of two transesterification reactions that mediate splicing. The record is from Rfam by way of RNAcentral. Lineage: Eukaryota; Metazoa; Chordata; Amphibia; Anura; Megophryidae.